Amphiprion ocellaris (clown anemonefish) is the source of this 1701-nucleotide long non-coding RNA. RefSeq lists it as uncharacterized. NCBI's taxonomy places the organism in Eukaryota, Metazoa, Chordata, Actinopteri, Pomacentridae. The record is from RefSeq and is a predicted model, not a curated record. The transcript is spliced from 3 exons.
ACUGGACAUCUUAAUGCGUUCAUAUGGCGACUUCGAACACGUUUUUAGAAAGAAGUGCAACACCUGCAGCUGCAAAAGAGAGGGAGACGGCGUGGGAGAACAUUGUUGCCCGGGUCAAUGCGUAAGUUUAAAUCACAAUAAUAUUACAGCAAAACUGUUUAAUAGCAGCCUAUUCUGUUAUUUCAUUUAGGUGCAAUCCUGCGGGGGAGAAGCGCAUGUGGCAGCAGCUGAAGAUGAAAUAUAAGAACAUUGUUCAAACGGCCAACAGAAAGAAAGGAGAUGCCUGUAAAAAGGAGGUGGCCCAGCAGCACCACCUGUAACGGAGGCAGAGGAGCUGCUCCUAAGCCAGAAUUUGGGAAGGCCAGUGGCUGAGGGAAUCCCUGGAGGGAGCUCAUCCUCUGAGACCACAUCCCAAGACACAAGUGUGUGUGUGCGUGCGUGUGUGUUCAUGCGCCCACUGAACAUUUGCCAUAAGGAAGCACAGAGCACUGCAUUGUUUCUGCCUACGAGCGAGUGUGUGUGCAGCCACAGCGAUGGCAUGCGUGAAGGGGUGUGCUUUAAAGAUGGUGAGUUUAAUUAGAGAUGAAAGGGCUGAUUGUUUAAUUGAUGGAAGGUGGACUGUUCCAUCAGGCUGAAAUGUGUGCGUGUUGACUCUUCUACUGUAGAAAAACAGAAAAAGUGGAAAAAAGCUACAUUUUUUGAGAAAACUAGGACAGCAUCUUAAGAGACACAUUAUAUUGUCAUUUAAAAACAAAUGAUAAAUAUAAUUUGCUAAUUUGAUCAGUCCUUUAUUGAAGAAAACUGGCGUGGAGGUUCAGAUACACACAUCUGGAUGACAAAAAAGAUAUUUAAAUGAUUUUCUAGUGCAGAUCUUUGCCUGUAUUUACUCAUGCCGUGCUAUAGAAGUGAGCAGAUCAUCCCUGCUGUGUUUUUACUGCUCAUCUCUCAGCAGGUCUUCCUUUGCCCCCGUCUUCUCAAGGUGGCACCGAGUUCUACGAGUGCCUCUGAGACUCUCCUCUAUAAAAAAAAUGGAGCAGCACAAGCCCUUUUGACAUCACACUUUCUGCUACCAGGAGAUUAGAAAGUGAAGGUGGAGCACUCCGGAGAAAACGCUCUCGGCAAGAGGAAAAGGUGCAACAGAAAAUUGGACCUUCCAAGCGUACUUGUGGAGAUGCAGGCUGAGGAGGAGCGGAACCGGCACCCAGCAUGAUGAGAACAUCUGGUUGCUCCUCAGCGAGGCAAGAGAGAAUGAAGCGGCCUUGCAGCGGGAGGAGAUGGUCCAGAAUGCUGCCUUCAACCAGUCAUUCCUGGGUGUACUGGGGCAGCUGGGGCAGGCAGUGCUGGGUGUACUGGGGCAGCUGGUGCAGGCAGUGCUGGGUGUACUGGGGCAGCUGGGGCAGGCAGUGGGCAGCCAGCGAGUCCACCUCCCAGAGACUUGAGAUUUAGUUGUAUAUAGUUUUACUUUUAGCCCUCCACUGUAGGAGAGGCCCACCACAGUUUGUACUUUGCACAUUGUAAAUGGUUUUGAUUUUGCUGCUGACUAAUAAACUAUUUUGUGACUUAUGUGAUUGCAUCAUAACUUUUCAUUUUGUCUGUUAAGACACUGGUAGGAAAAGAGUCAACAGUCUGAACCAAACAAUUCUGUAUUCCCUAAUAAUGCAUUUAUGUUUAAUGGGAUUUAACAUGUUUUAACACAAACUC